RNAcentral lists this ribosomal RNA (828 nucleotides) under Wojnowiciella lonicerae. RNAcentral's name for it is "partial 28S ribosomal RNA". It matches the Rfam family "Eukaryotic large subunit ribosomal RNA", at positions 90 to 936 of the family's 3401-position model. The record is from RNAcentral. Lineage: Eukaryota; Fungi; Ascomycota; Dothideomycetes; Pleosporales; Phaeosphaeriaceae.
CGAGUGAAGCGGCAACAGCUCAAAUUUGAAAUCUGGCUCUUUCAGAGUCCGAGUUGUAAUUUGCAGAGGGCGCUUUGGCGUUGGCAGCGGUCCAAGUUCUUUGGAACAGGACGUCACAGAGGGUGAGAAUCCCGUACGUGGUCGCUAACCUUCGCCGUGUAAAGCCCCUUCGACGAGUCGAGUUGUUUGGGAAUGCAGCUCUAAAUGGGAGGUAAAUUUCUUCUAAAGCUAAAUACUGGCCAGAGACCGAUAGCGCACAAGUAGAGUGAUCGAAAGAUGAAAAGCACUUUGGAAAGAGAGUCAAAUAGCACGUGAAAUUGUUGAAAGGGAAGCGCUUGCAGCCAGACUUGCCUGUAGUUGCUUAUCCGGACUUUUGUCCGGUGCACUCUUCUGCAGGCAGGCCAGCAUCAGUUUGGGCGGUUGGAUAAAGGUCUCUAUCACGUACCUCCCUUCGGGGUUGGCCUUAUAGGGGAGACGUCAUGCAACCAGCCUGGACUGAGGUCCGCGCAUCUGCUAGGAUGCUGGCGUAAUGGCUGUAAGCGGCCCGUCUUGAAACACGGACCAAGGAGUCUAACAUCUAUGCGAGUGUUUGGGUGUCAAGCCCAGACGCGUAAUGAAAGUGAACGGAGGUGGGAACCUUUUAGGUGCACCAUCGACCGAUCCUGAUGUCUUCGGAUGGAUUUGAGUAAGAGCAUGGCUGUUGGGACCCGAAAGAUGGUGAACUAUGCUUGAAUAGGGUGAAGCCAGAGGAAACUCUGGUGGAGGCUCGCAGCGGUUCUGACGUGCAAAUCGAUCGUCAAAUUUGGGCAUAGGGGCGAAAGACUAAUC